This is an RNA transcript of Olea europaea var. sylvestris, 1752 nucleotides long. RefSeq lists it as uncharacterized. Lineage: Eukaryota; Viridiplantae; Streptophyta; Magnoliopsida; Lamiales; Oleaceae. The transcript is spliced from 5 exons. The record is from RefSeq and is a predicted model, not a curated record.
AGCCCUAAAAACAUAGCAUUUCUCCCAUUCUUUUUCCCAUCGACUUCACCUCUCCAUGAUUUCCCCUGGCGCUUCAGUUCUCACUCUCUCUCUCUCUCCACCUUCCACGGUCGACCACAGGCGCCUUAGCUCACUCUCGUCUCUCUCCGGCUUCCACCGUCGACCGACAGCGCCUUAGCCCUCACUCUCGUCUCUCUCUGCCUUCCACCGGCACCGCUCACUCUCGUCGCUCGCCUCUCAAGACACAAAUCAUUCACGUACAAUGUCUAUGCACAUUUAUUUAUUGUUCAUUAGAGUUAUUUUUCCUGUUGUCAAUUUUGAGUUUGCAGAAAACUGGAGAUAAAUGCACCUGAGGGAAAACCUAAAUGGUUGGCGAGGGCUAUAAAGUCAUUUGCAAUUGCGUAGAUGGAGGCCAUGAAGUUCAAUACCCAAAAACUGGGACCAAAGCUUUGCUAAUGGGCAUUUUGGUUGAAGGUUGGUAGUUAAAUGAUAAAUAAUUCAAUUUGAUAGUAUAAUCCAAUUAGUUUGUAGCUUAUAAUUCACUCGGAUUUUUAUUUCAUAAAUCUAAAAAUGAUGUUUAUUUCAGUUUAUUUGAUUUCUAGAAGAACUUAUAGAAUAUGAGCUAAUGAAGCCUAGCUUUAGCAAAAAAGAUGAGAUGAUAAGAUAUGAGGUUCCAAGUACCACUAAUUGAUGCAAUUGGAUAUACAACUGGAAGGUGAAAUUAGCAAUAUUGUAUAUCACAAUUGUGAUUAUGAUUAUGACAUAAUUUAUUCAGGUUAGAAUUUUUUGAGAGUGUUAUGUUGUCUAUUAUGACUAGAACAGUAGGUCACAAUUAUGAUUUUGUACGUGACCUAUAACAUUCUUCGUUCUCUGUACUGGUUUGAUAUAUCUACUGUUUAUUUGUGAUGUUGUUACUUGUAACAAGUGCUAUUUUUUGUGGUAAGUAUUAUUAUUUGUAACUUUCAUAAAUGUAUACUAUAUUCAAUUUGUGAUGUGAAUUAAUGGUACUAUGUUGUUAAACAAUGAUGGGCUUGUGCAUGUUAACCUGUUAUAUAGAGGUCACAUGUUAAUUUUAUUGGAGGAUUCUUAAAAGUAUAUUGAGCUAGUUGAUCUUGUUAUUUCAAAGUUGGGGAAUGGAUUAUGCAGAAGUUGCAAUUACAAUGUCAUGUCAUUGUGUGAAACGUCAAGAUCCUCCUUUCCUUACUAAUUACUGGGCAAUCAGGCGAGGCCCCAGUAAAGAGAGUUGGCCAUACCAACAUGGGCUUAGGUCUAUGGCAAAUGAUGGGCAGGACACUAAUGGUUCACAAUUUUUCAUCUGUGACGACCAACUGGUUGGAUGGUCGUCAUGUUGUAUUCAGAAAGGUGCUGUCCGGAAUAGAUGUGGUGUAUAAGAUAGAAGCCAAAUGCAACUAGAGUGGAACAACCAAAAACAAAGUUGUGAUUGCAGACAGUGGUGAACUUCCCCUGUAAUCAGCUUGUACUUGAACUUGUCAGUUUUACCCUUCUACUCACUUCUGCUUACUGCAGAUUAUGGAUCUUAAUUUACAUACCUGAAUUAUGUUAUUUAGGAAAAUGAAAUAGGUACCAGAAAAGUACACUUUUUAGUUUGGCACCUAAUGAAAUAGGUACCAGAAAAGGCACGUAGAAUGUAUAUUAGGAAAGAAGAGAGGAAACAUAUGCGAUUUCUCUUACAUUAUUGACAGAGAUCAUUAGGGAUAAUGUUACCAACCUUUAGAAGGUUCGUUUUACAUU